GAGGGGUACAUAGAACACAAAGAACUGCUAACUCCUUGUCCUAGGACUAACCCCCUAGACCCCUUAC
This 67-nucleotide transfer RNA is filed under the name Hemiergis decresiensis. Its description in RNAcentral is "tRNA-Ser". Lineage: Eukaryota; Metazoa; Chordata; Lepidosauria; Squamata; Scincidae. The record is from RNAcentral.